This is a non-coding RNA of Picea glauca (white spruce), 82 nucleotides long. The record is from Rfam. Lineage: Eukaryota; Viridiplantae; Streptophyta; Pinopsida; Pinales; Pinaceae.
GUCAACAUGUCCGAGUGGUUAAGGAGAUAGACUCGAAAUCUAUUGGGCUAUGCCUGCGCAGGUUCGAAUCCUGCUGUUGACG